Long non-coding RNA from Octopus sinensis (East Asian common octopus), 222 nucleotides. RefSeq lists it as uncharacterized. The transcript has 2 exons. Lineage: Eukaryota; Metazoa; Mollusca; Cephalopoda; Octopoda; Octopodidae. The record is from RefSeq and is a predicted model, not a curated record.
UCCAGCUGGUUUGAACAUAAAACAGGUAGAAUAUUUAGGCUGGAUAUGGUCAGUUUGAAUGCUAAAAGGUUAACACAACCAGUCGCUUUAGCAGAGUCCACUCUGUUGUAAGUAUUCUCCAGUGUGAAGAUUACCACCACUCACACCUCUUACUAGUCUCAGAGACCCUAACAAAGGCCAUGGCCACUGCCUUUCUUCCUCUGAUUAAGCCAUAAAAAAAAA